UAUGGUUCAUGUCAAAAGACCGAAUGGCGGGAGGCCGCUAGGAAAAGUACCUCAUUUUUAAUAAGCGACUCAUUACAACUGCUUAGUAUUUGCAAUCAGAUCAGAGAUUAAAUUGACAUAAUGUUCAAAGGAUUUAGUUCAGGGUCUGGUCUGAUUCCAGCUUCCACAAGUUUUGAGACAGGUGAGUUUCCUUCAGCGGGAUGACAGUGGGACAGGCCGGCGCACUGUGAAGGGAUCACUGUGAUGGAGGACAGCAAAACCAGCCAGAAUCGGUGCAAGGAAGAAGCAAGGAAGCAUCGACGGUGAGUGAAGGAGGCGAGGCAGGGGUCUCCUCAGAUCUCCGCGCUGCAUCAGUAACAGAGUAAAUCUGCGCCACUGUGGAAAUGAACGCUGGCGUUAGGAGCUUCUUUAGUCUGCUGCUAAUCACACACUUUAGCAGAGCCCAGAAAAUCAGUGAUGACUCCAUCAACACCCCCCACCCUCCUGUGCUGUUCAGCAUCAGCCCCCAAUCCUACAUCAGCUUCCUGCUGCUGGGCCUGACCGUCGUCGUGUUCGGCGGCGUCUAUCUCUGGAUCCUCAGAUACGUCUGCAUCGGCUGCUGCCAGCCCAUCACAGUGGGCGUUGAAUCAGAAGCCCUGGCAGGGAUGGUGUGAAGUCAUCGGCCCCUGUCUGAUUGAGUUGGGCUGUUACCAAGUCACACAGGACAUGUACCUCGGUUUUACAGGUAAAAGACUUGGCCUAUCCGACUUGUCAUCAAUUUUGCAAAAGAAAGUAGGUGUCAGGGAAGAUAACUAAGUGUGUAGUCAUUUGUGCUCCCAUAUAAGUUUUUUUUUUCAAGUGCGGUUCCAGAGCGCUCAGUGACAGUGUCAAUGCUGGAAAAUAAGAAAGUAGGAGAAAAGUAGUUCUUUUGCUCUUACUUCUACACCCUGCUUACCUGAUAUCUGGCAAACAUCUGUUGGACACUGCCUGAAAAAUCGCUAAAAAGCUACUGAGCAGUGAACGUGAGACACAAUUGUAAAGCUGGGUGGCAGAAAUUUAAGAAAAAGUUCAGCUAAUAAGCUGAUAAAAUGCUUUGUAUCUUUGCUUUAGGGUUUUCUUUGUAGUUUAUUGACUGUUUUAUUUCGAAACCCUUUUUUCAUGGUUUCUUUUCUUACUUCCUGCCUUUCUCCUUCACAAGUGGGUUUUGUGUGUAACAAUUAGCCAUUUAGUGUAUUUAUAAUGGCGUCCCCCUUUUCUGCUGUCAAGUUAGUUUGUGUCUAGUUUUAUUUGUUUUGUUCCUGGGUAUCUGUCUCAGCUUCAGCAUUAUGUUAAAAACAAUCCAUAAAAACAUACUACAGUGUCUUCUUUUAAAACAAAGACAUUUUCUAUUAUUUUUUCUCCAUAUAUUCCACUCAACUGGUUAUUUUUGAGCAUUUACACACUUUAUGGGGAAAAAAAUUACCAGUUGAAGUUUUUGUGAAAGUACAGCCUGUUGAUUUCUCUGCUCGUGGCAUUUCUGCUCAGCUGAAUGACACAAAUAAAUCUCCUUUUCUUCUUCAAUCUUGCCUUGUGUUAUGGGGCCUGUGUAGGGUGACCAGAUCACAGUCUAAAAGUAAAUAUAACAAAAAUAAAGAGAAGCUGAAGUUUGUUCUUAUUGUCUAUAUUAUCUGUUAAUUCUUCCUCCUCCUGGAGGAGGAGGAGUAUUUAAUCUGUUCUGUUUGUUAACAGUCUAGCAUGCAAUCGGAUCUAGGUCACAAUAAAUGUGAAAAUCUGAAAAAACUUUAUAUUACUCAAAUUUUUUAAUGGAUGGAUCUUCUAACUUCACAACAAUAUGCUAGACCUUGGUGGACAUUAAUACCUUGGCUGGCUAAACAUUUGACUUUGACCUUCAUUUUUAGUGCCCAAAUUUGAAGAAACCAUAUCAAGUAAUCUGUCAUAUUAAAAGUACAGAAAACUUUCUUCUUUUAUUC
Long non-coding RNA from Oreochromis aureus, 1949 nucleotides. NCBI's taxonomy places the organism in Eukaryota, Metazoa, Chordata, Actinopteri, Cichliformes, Cichlidae. The record is from Ensembl.